UACGGAGGGUGCAAGCGUUAUCCGGAUUCACUGGGUUUAAAGGGUGCGUAGGAGGGCAGGUAAGUCCGUGGUGAAAUCUCUGAGCUUAACUCAGAAACUGCCGUGGAUACUCUCUGUCUUGAAUAUCGUGGAGGUGAGCGGAAUAUGUCAUGUAGCGGUGAAAUGCUUAGAUAUGACAUAGAACACCAAUUGCGAAGGCAGCUCGCUACACGAAUAUUGACUCUGAGGCACGAAAGCGUGGGGAUCAAAC
RNAcentral lists this ribosomal RNA (250 nucleotides) under uncultured bacterium. RNAcentral describes it as "partial 16S ribosomal RNA". It matches the Rfam family "Bacterial small subunit ribosomal RNA", at positions 524 to 773 of the family's 1533-position model. The record is from RNAcentral.